GUCUUAUUGAUUAUAAUUUUAAGUCUAAUCUGCCCAGUGAUUUAUUAAAUGGCUGCAGUAUUUUAACUGUACAAAGGUAGCAUAAUAAUUAGUUUCUUAAUUAGAAACUGGAAUGAAAGAUUGGACGAGGCAAUAGCUGUCUCAAUCUAAAUUAAAGAAUUUUAUUUUUAAGUUAAAAAGCUUAAAUUUAUUUAAAAGACGAGAAGACCCUAUAGAAUUUUAUAUAAGUGUAUUAUUUAAAUUUUAGAAUAGGAAUUUUGAAUUUAUACAGGAUUAUUUAAUUGGGGUGAUUGAAAAAUUUAUUUAACUUUUUUUAUUAAACAAAUCAUUAAUUUAUGUAUAGUUGAUCCAAUAUUUUUGAUUAUAAGAUUAAAUUACCUUAGGGAUAACAGCGUAAUUUUUUUAGAGAGUUCUUAUCGAUAAAAGAGAUUGCGACCUCGAUGUUGGAUUAAAGUUAAUUUUUGAUGUAGAAGUUAAAAAAUUAGGUCUGUUCGACCUUUGAAACUUUACAUGAUCUGAGUUUAAAUCGGCGUGAGCCAGGUUGGAUUCUAUCUUUAAAAAUUUUUAAUAUUUUAGUACGAAAGGACCAAGUAUUAUUUAUAAUAAAUUUUAUAGAAUAAUA
This 622-nucleotide ribosomal RNA is filed under the name Quaesticulus autumnalis autumnalis. RNAcentral's name for it is "Quaestus autumnalis autumnalis partial 16S ribosomal RNA". It matches the Rfam family "Bacterial large subunit ribosomal RNA", at positions 1830 to 2772 of the family's 2925-position model. Lineage: Eukaryota; Metazoa; Arthropoda; Insecta; Coleoptera; Leiodidae. The record is from RNAcentral.